GGGAUGAUAGUUUAACUAAAACGUGAAAUUGCAAAUUUCAAAAUAUUUUUUUCACCCCU
RNAcentral lists this transfer RNA (59 nucleotides) under Euglandina singleyana. Its description in RNAcentral is "tRNA-Cys". The record is from RNAcentral. Lineage: Eukaryota; Metazoa; Mollusca; Gastropoda; Stylommatophora; Spiraxidae.